UACGGGGGGGGCAAGCGUUGUUCGGAAUUACUGGGCGUAAAGGGCUCGUAGGUGGCCAACUAAGUCAGACGUGAAAUCCCUCGGCUUAACCGGGGAACUGCGUCUGAUACUGGAUGGCUUGAGUUCGGGAGGGGGAUGCGGAAUUCCAGGUGUAGCGGUGAAAUGCGUAGAUAUCUGGAGGAACACCGGUGGCGAAGGCGGCAUCCUGGACCGACACUGACACUGAGGAGCGAAAGCCAGGGGAGCAAACGGG
RNAcentral lists this ribosomal RNA (253 nucleotides) under uncultured bacterium. RNAcentral describes it as "partial 16S ribosomal RNA". It matches the Rfam family "Bacterial small subunit ribosomal RNA", at positions 524 to 776 of the family's 1533-position model. The record is from RNAcentral.